RNAcentral lists this long non-coding RNA (2457 nucleotides) under Nicotiana benthamiana. Its description in RNAcentral is "long non-coding RNA (NBEN_LNC022350)". The record is from RNAcentral. Lineage: Eukaryota; Viridiplantae; Streptophyta; Magnoliopsida; Solanales; Solanaceae.
AUAUUCCUAAGACUUGAAAACAGAUAAAGUACAGGAUUUACAAAUAAUAUUCUCAAAAUAAACUAAUUAUUAUUUAAUUUAAUCAAACCAUUGUGGUUAUACGAAUUAUAACCAGUGGAAUUACCUACUUACAACUAUUAAAAUAAAAAUCAACCUUGAUUACUAAAGCUUUGUAAAAAGUUUGUUAAAACUUGAUUGACAUUUACAAAAAUCUAUUACAAUUAAAGUAACUCUAAUCCGCCAUUGUUUGUACUUAACUCAUGCCUAUUAAUUAGUGACCUUAUACAAGAGCAGUCCUAAUAUUUUUGACAUACAUAUAACAUUUGUAUAACCGGAGAACACAUAAUAAAUAUCUAACUAAAAUAUAAAUAUUCUACGCCAAAACGCAUAGAUUUUCUGGCUAUUUCAUUUCAGUGUCAAGGCGUACAUCAAAGUGAUUCAAAGAGGUGUACCUGGUAUUGGAAUACAAAAGAAGAGGAAGAUCAGUAGGGAGCAAUAUCAGCACACACACAGCAACAACAGUUCAGCAACCCAGGAAUAAACCAGUAACAGUAGGAAUAGCCGAAAACCCAGGAUAAUACAACCAAGCAGAAAAACCAAGAAUUUCCAAAUCAACCAAAAACCAACAGUAAACCCAAGCAACACUACUUGAAUAUUAGUAGUACCAGAAAAUACACACAAACGAAGCGGAGAAAGAACCAAUUGCAAGAGAAAGCAAUAGCUUCUGAUUUUUUUAACACUCAAAGAAAAGAAACCCCAAACUUCAAUGAAACAAUAGCACUUAAGGUUGAUUUCAACAGUGAAAGAAAAUAGAAAAUUCUCAGUAUGUAGCUCUCCAAAGUCUCCAACUCUAAUGUUUAGAAGUCUGUUUAUAUUUCCUUUUAAGUUUCUAAAAUUCUGCUCUCAAAAAUCUCCCCUCUCCACUUGAUAAAUGCGUCAUAUUAUGUACAAAGCAAGACUAUUUCCUUUAAUUCUUUUAAUUAUUAACUUUUACUUUUUAAAAAUUAUUAUUACUAAUCCAUUUACCCCUUUUACUUUCCAGCUCAUAUUCCUUUAACUAUGUGACUUUUUUAACUUUUCAUUAUUAAUCUACUAUUUCUAAUUCUCAAUCAGCCAAACAUCUCUCAUUUCUUAGUGGCCCCCUACCAACUAGUUCAAAUUAAAGCUAUUAGGACCCUACUGGACAGACCCCCUUAGUCAAACUUAUUUUCCAUUUUUGAACUUCUCCAAAUUACCCCUGAAUCAUGAAAUUACUAUUCUACCCCCCAAACCUUCAAUCUGUAACAAAACCAUAUCGGCUAUAACCAAAUCACCUACAUAAGCAAACCUACCAAUCGGCUAAUUAAACACAUGAAACUAAUUUCCAAUCAACAACAUUAAAACAACAUGGUCAGAUGAACACCAAAAACAAACUUAUCAGAACAAACAACCAGAUUCAAAUCACAAAUCAUACUAAAAUUAAAGUAAAAUAUCAAGAAAAACUUUUAAAGAACCCAGUUACAUUUACACCUUAAUCACUUGCACUAAAUAAUCCAUAUGGUUUUGACUUUUGAAGAGGAAGAAAAUAACAACGCCUCUUGAAAGUAAUCAAAAUGAUCGGUUCAUUUUGCCUUGCUUCAACAAUCUUAACGUAACCAAAUAUAUAGUGGGUCUGAAUCUGGAAAGUGUUGCUUUGUAUAUCUAUAAUCACAUAAGUAGAAAUUUGCUACUUAAACUAACAAUGAAACUCUACAAGCAAAUAAGAACAAAUAAGACAGAUUUCACAAGGAACGACAUGCAAGGUCAUUAAUAUUAUGACAGAACAAAACAAAUAUGAGAGAAAUGAAGCUUACAUUGAGCCUUCAUCGAAAUGACACCGAGAACCUCGGCCUCGACUAAACUCGGACCAACGAAACUCAAACAAGUCUCACAACAAGACGGGAACUUGAUCGGCGACGAACACUCAACAAAUUCCUACGCUGACUGAAUUUAAACUCAUCUCUAUUGAAGCCAAAGGACAUAAAACUCCGAGAUCCAAAUGACCUUUAUAACAAACUAGCUGCGAGUUCGCUGACUUCCACCAAACUGUUGUGAACCGAAAGAGGCAGAAGCAGCGAUGGGUGAAGAGAAACGAGCUGCCGUGACUGCGACGGGGCGUGGAGGGCUCGCUAGCGUGGCUGGUAAGGGAGGAGGGGGCUGUUUGGCGAUGGUUCGUUAGGGGGUGAGGGUGACGGGUUGGAGUGGUGAGGGAGAUGGUGGUUUGUAGGGUGGUUUAGGGUUUGGAGGUGUGUGUUUGGAGAAGAUGAAGAGAAGGGGGUGGGGUGUAAGGUGUGAUGGCUAGAUAGUUUAGGGUGUGUUUAGGGUUUUGCUUUUUGGUUAAGUGAAAGAAUGGGGAAAAAUCUGAAAAAUCAAAAGGGAGGGGUGGAAAUGGACCUAUUCAAGGAGUUUUGGGUUGGGUAUAAUUGGUUUGGGCCUGGG